Molecule: long non-coding RNA, 967 nt
Organism: Dermochelys coriacea (leatherback sea turtle)
Lineage: Eukaryota; Metazoa; Chordata; Testudines; Dermochelyidae
Exons: 3
Source: RefSeq, a predicted model, not a curated record
GUACGGUUUGGCCAAUGUACAUGGCAGAGGCAUUGUUGGCACAUGAUGGGUGACUCUCCUGAUCUGAUGUAGAUGGAAAAAUGCAUUCCUGGUCAUAGUUGCAACACAACUAUCUACCAGCAGCUGAGGAUCCAGCAGUUACCCCUAGAUUGAGAACACAAGUCACGAAUGACAGGUGUUUGCAAAUUGUUCAGUUUUCUCUGUGCUAGCACAUGUGCACUCACUUGGAGGGACUAUUGUACUUGACCUUCAGUUGGAAUGACCUUGGCGUGGAUGAUAGUUCCAAUCUGAUCAGGUCUUAUAUGGUAACUCUCUCAAGUACACCCAAGAAUACAGCCAGAUGAGGAGAAAGCACCCAUGGGCCAGAGCAAAAUACCCAGGAGAAUCCAGUGAAAUAACCAAUGGGAAAUCAUCUGCUACCCUAUUGCUCUCUUUUGAUCGCUGGAUGCUGCUCAUUGUCUACUGUUGGCCUAGGCUAUGGUCCAUAGACCAAUGCAUGGCUGGGAACAGGGCUGCAAAUGGGGUGAAAGAGCGAGAGGAAAUGCUGCUGAAGGCCCAUGGAAACCUUUGAUGCAGUGUUCGAUAGCCUUCUGGGAUACGAGUCAUAAAUCCAAUGAAGAAUGAACGAUAGAGCUCCCAAGUGAGUGGAAUGGAUGCAUUGUUGGAAGUCAGGGUCCCUGGGACUAAGGAGCAAUUGUCACACUCCCUAGAUUAGUAGAAAGUGAGGGGUGGUAAAUAAUUCUGUAUCCAUAUUUUGUGGGUGGGGAAAGAGGUACAAGAUAAUUUGACUUUACCAAGUUCACGGAAGCAGCUUGGGCAUAAUUUUAUUACUCCUCCCCUCUUCUUCUCCCCUAUUAUAGGCGACAUCAUUCCUUGUCUUCAGUAAGAUUGUAAGCUCUUCUUAUGUUUUGUGCAGCAUCUGGGGUGUUACCAGAGUAUAUUAUUAUUAUUAUUAUAGUCAAUUACU